CCGGGGAUAAGCAGACAUGGAUUUGUCAGGAUUCCUGGAGUCUGCGCCGCUCAGGAAUGACUUUGCAGCUCUGGCUUGCCCGGGGCCUUUCCACUGCCUGGAAAUGGUCCCUGGUCCCAAGGGAGAGGGCAGAAGCGGAGCCUGAUCCUGGGGCUUAUUGAGGACACGGCCAUUGAAUCUCAUUCAAGUGUGAAAGGUCACCUCAAUGGCCCAGAGAUUUUUUCAGAGAGCAAGCUGGAUCGUGUCUGCUUAGACCUAGAGCUGACAAGAGCAUUAAACUAUCUAAACCCCAAAAUGCAGAUCCUCAGAAAUCCAGACUCACCCUGAAGACACCCCGAAACUCUAGGGAGGAACAGAAGGAAACGGUGGCCUCCAAAACCUGCUCAAAUGUAAAUGCUGGCAAGAGAGAUGGAAAUGCA
Calidris pygmaea (Spoon-billed sandpiper) is the source of this 419-nucleotide long non-coding RNA. The record is from Ensembl. NCBI's taxonomy places the organism in Eukaryota, Metazoa, Chordata, Aves, Charadriiformes, Scolopacidae.